GAUCCCUUAUAUCUGGCUAGAAAGAAAUUAAAAUUUCGCUUUAAGAAGUUAGUAUCUCGGGUAAUAGUAGUAGUUACUUAACUAGCUUAAUACCCGUAAUCAAGACUGAGAGGUCAAUUGAUCACAAUGUGGCCUGAAUAAAGCCCAAGGUUUUUACUACAGCAGUGAGGAAUAUUGGUCAAUAGCCUAACGGCUGAACCAGCAACUUGGAAGAACGGGGUAAAUCCGAAUAAAAUAAAGUUCUAGAUAGAAUUUUGAUAAUGACAUUUUCUAUCUAUGUCUUGACCAAAGAACGUGCCAGCAGUCGCGGUAAAACGUUGAAGACUAGUGUUAUUCAUCUUUAAUAGGUUUAAAGGGUACUUAGACGGUAUAUUAAGCCCAAAAAGGGUACUAAUAUACUAGAGUUUGAUGUGAGAGGGGGAGUACUAGUGGAGUAGAGAUGAAAUUUUAUUAUACCAUUGGAACAGGUAGCGGCGAAAGCAACCCUUUAUGUAAAAACUGACGUUGAAGGACGAAGGCUUGAGACACCAACAGGAUUAGAUACCCUAGUAGUUCAAGCAGUCAAUGAUGAAUGUCAUAGAUUAGAUUAAUUUUUGUCUAUAAAUGAAAAUGUAAGCAUUCCACCUCAAGAGUAAUGUGGCAACGCAGAAACUGAAAUCAUUAGACCGUUUCUGAAACCAGUAGUGAAGUAUGUUGUUUAAUUCGAUAAUCCGCGAAAAACCUUACCACAAUUUGAAUAUUUUUGUUUUUAUAAUUAUACAAGCGUUGCACGGCUGUCUUCAGUUAAUGUCGUGAGAUUUUGGUUAGUUCCAUUAAAUUAACGCAAACCCUUACUUUAUUUAUUUUUAUAAAGUAGUUCACCGCUAUAUUGGAUAUGAUAAA
Molecule: ribosomal RNA, 882 nt
Filed under: Schaereria dolodes
Lineage: Eukaryota; Fungi; Ascomycota; Lecanoromycetes; Sarrameanales
Description: SSU rRNA
Rfam family: Bacterial small subunit ribosomal RNA
Source: RNAcentral